ACACUCUUUCUAAACCCUGUUUUUCUCUCAUCAACUACAGCCUCAGAUCCAUUCUCUCACUCCCACAAAAUUCUGAGUAUCAUGAAUCUGUUUGAUACAAAUCAAUAAUUCCCCUCUCAGCAACCAAUUGUGGUUAUGAUGAUGAUUCUUAUCACUCAUUCAACCACUACUAUGUGCAACUCGACCAAGAUUCUUCAGAUAGGUUAUCAGCAUGAUGAUGUUGUAACCUUGGCUACAUUUAGGAAAGGUCUCUGUCUUAACGGUGAAAUCGAUGACUUUUGUGGUCAUCAUAGUAGGAUAUCUAGUUAAACUAGAUGCAGUAAUGUACAACACAAUCAUUGAUAGUCUGUGCAAAGAUAAACUUGUAAAUCAUGAUUGUGUUGUUACAUAUAAACUAAUGUUGUAAGGAAGGAAAGGUGAAAGAAACUAAAAAUUCAUAGUCUUCGCUAUGAAUUUGAAGAAUACAUCACUUACAAUUCCUUAUUAUAUUAUAUUGAUGCAAAAUCUUCUUGAUCAAGUUUAUUAUAUGGUACAAAAUCUUCUUGAUCAAGUUUUUUAUUGAUAGUCUGUUCAAAGAUAAAUUUUAUUUUAGGUUGAAUUUCUCCGAGUCUGUGGUUCUUCAUGUAUUGACUUACGAGUCUUGUAAUUCUUCAUGUGAAAUAAAAUAUUUAUUGGAAUUUGUUGCUAAGAGCAAUUGUGAUGUUUAAGUUUAUUUGUUUCAUAUUUUACCUUAAAAAUAAGGUUGCAACUUAUAUUUUGUUUAUUUAGUUUUUAUAGUAGAUAUAAUUCUUACCUUUGUGAAACCUGUGACUUAAAGAUAGAUAUAGAUAUUGUCUUUCAUGUGAUCCAA
This 850-nucleotide long non-coding RNA is filed under the name Trifolium pratense (red clover). RNAcentral describes it as "long non-coding RNA (TPRA_LNC005235)". The record is from RNAcentral. Lineage: Eukaryota; Viridiplantae; Streptophyta; Magnoliopsida; Fabales; Fabaceae.